GCCAUAGCUGAGCAGGAGCAUUUUAGACGCUGUUUUUUUUGCGGAAGUUCGCUGUUCAAAUCCCACAGGCCACUCAGUGUCAGUACUGCGGGCGUAUGGACCGUGCAUUGACGUGCUGGCUUCUUCACAGUGGACGGUCCAGUGUCAAAAGGUAAAGAUGACGGUGCAGCCCUGCAAUCGCUUGGUUACGCCAUUGCUGGCAGAUGGGCCUCCACUGGAGGGAGCUCCAGAGAUUCCCUCUGGAUACUCUCAGCGACUCAACAACGACGGCCACACCUCCGCACACGAGCUGCUGCAGACAAGGGUGACAAAAGUUGCUCAGACGAGUCGGUGCAUCUGCUGAAGCAUCUUUACACCCAG
Long non-coding RNA from Lethenteron reissneri (Far Eastern brook lamprey), 360 nucleotides. RefSeq lists it as uncharacterized. The record is from RefSeq and is a predicted model, not a curated record. Lineage: Eukaryota; Metazoa; Chordata; Hyperoartia; Petromyzontiformes; Petromyzontidae.